GAGUUUGAUCCUGGCUCAGGAUGAACGCUGGCGGUCUGCUUAACACAUGCAGUCGAACGGGCUCUUCGGAGCUAGUGGCGGACGGGUGAGUAACACGUGAGAAUCUGGCUCCCGGUCGGGGACAACAGAGGGAAACUUCUGCUAAUCCCGGAUGAGCCGAAAGGUAAAAGAUUUAUCGUCGGGAGAUGAGCUCGCGUCUGAUUAGCUAGUUGGUGAGGUAAAGGCUCACCAAGGCGACGAUCAGUAGCUGGUCUGAGAGGAUGAUCAGCCACACUGGGACUGAGACACGGCCCAGACUCCUACGGGAGGCAGCAGUGGGGAAUUUUCCGCAAUGGGCGCAAGCCUGACGGAGACAAGACCGCGUGGGAGAGGAAGGCUCUUGGGUUGUAAACCCCUUUUCUCACAGGGAGAACAACCAUGACGGUACUUGAGGAAUAAGCCUCGGCUAACUCCGUGCCAGCAGCCGCGGUAAUACCGAGGAGGCCAGCGUUAUCCCGAAUGAUUGGGCGUUAAGCGUCCCUAGGUGGCUGUUCAAGUUUGCUGUCAAAGACAGUGGCCUUAACUACUGAAAAGGCAGUGGAAACUGAACAGCCUAGAGUG
Molecule: ribosomal RNA, 600 nt
Filed under: uncultured Arthrospira sp.
Lineage: Bacteria; Bacillati; Cyanobacteriota; Cyanophyceae; Oscillatoriales; Microcoleaceae
Description: bacterial SSU rRNA
Rfam family: Bacterial small subunit ribosomal RNA
Source: RNAcentral